This is a non-coding RNA of Manis javanica (Malayan pangolin), 992 nucleotides long. The record is from RefSeq and is a predicted model, not a curated record. NCBI's taxonomy places the organism in Eukaryota, Metazoa, Chordata, Mammalia, Pholidota, Manidae.
GCGUGAUAGACUCUAAUGUUUUAAAGAGCCAGGCAGGUGGAGUAAAUGAAUGAAGAAGGCUAAUUAUAAGAGAACAUAGAGCACAAGCACAAUGGAAGAAGGAAAAUUUCACGAUGCAAAUUUGCCCUGUGAAAAAUGUGUGAUCUGAUAUUUAGUGAUUUCAGAAGGAGGAUACAUCAAGACUUUGACAUUUUGGUGAGUAGACUACAAAAAGCCCGGCCAUUUCUUUACAAGAUGAGUUCUAGGAUCUUUUACAUUCUAAACAUCUGUUCUUCUCUGAGUAUAAUUUUUUCUUUUCUACAUUCAAACUUAUCCAAAGUAUGUUCUACCUAGGCUAAAAAUUGAUGGAAGACAUGGCAAUGAAAUGUAAAGAUUUUUUAUCCCAAUGCUAUAUUCAGGCGGUUCCCCCUUAACAGUUUCUUUCAAUCUGUUAACUUGAGUGACCAUUCCUCAGAUGGCCACAAGAUGGCAGCCUUGGCCUAACAGUAAGAGAAGGGUCCGCUCAAGAAGCCUUUGCUAGUUGUGAUGGUGCAAAAGGAGUCCAGAUACGGUUGUGUGUUUGCCUCUGCACCUCUGCGGUGUGGUCAACUGAUAUCCUUUCCACCACAGACAUUUCAUGAACAAAGCCUAGAGAGCUUAAAGAAAUCUUAAACAAUCCAGCCAUUCUGCACAGUUGCUCAGGCCAGUUUGCUGAUGUCAAUGCUGUGUGGAAGAGAAAUAAUUUUGUUAACAAAGGGAAUAUAUGUGUGCCAAGCCCCAUUUGUUAUCUGAAACUUUGUGGUCAGAGGUAAGAUUGAUGUGGAAGCUUAGAGACACAUUUGGAUGUUAUGAAAUAGGGUGUAAGGAGGUUUUACAAUGCUGAAAAUGUAAUUAAAUAUCACUGAAUGAUGUUCUAAUUAAUUAUCGCUGUAUGGUAGCCUUCAACAGGGUAGGGAUGUGUCUGUUUUGUUGAACAAUGUAUCCCUUGCACAUAAAAGGUUGCCACACAUUGA